AUUGAACGCUGGCGGCAGGCCUAACACAUGCAAGUCGAACGAGUGGCGGACGGGUGAGUAAUGUCUGGGAAACUGCCUGAUGGAGGGGGAUAACUACUGGAAACCGUAGCUAAUACCGCAUACCAUCGGAUGUGCCCAGAUGGGAUUAGCUAGUAGGUGGGGUAAAGGCUCACCUAGGCGACGAUCCCUAGCUGGUCUGAGAGGAUGACAGGCCAAACUGGAACGGGGACACGCUCCGGACUCCGACGGGGGGCAGCAGUGGGGAAUAUUGCACAAGGGGCGCAGGCCUGAGACAGCCAUGCCGCGGGUAUGAAGAGGGCCUUCGGGUUGUAAAGUACUUUCAGCGGGGAGGCGUUACCCGCAGAAGAAGCACCGGCUAACUCCGUGCCAGCAGCCGCGGUAAUUC
Molecule: ribosomal RNA, 406 nt
Filed under: uncultured bacterium
Lineage: Bacteria
Description: partial 16S ribosomal RNA
Rfam family: Bacterial small subunit ribosomal RNA
Source: RNAcentral